Callithrix jacchus (white-tufted-ear marmoset) is the source of this 1695-nucleotide non-coding RNA. The record is from RefSeq and is a predicted model, not a curated record. NCBI's taxonomy places the organism in Eukaryota, Metazoa, Chordata, Mammalia, Primates, Cebidae.
AUGCAAAUCAAAACCAUAAUUGGAUACCACCUUACAUCAGUUAGAGAAUGGAUUGAUUUACUCCAAUGGGCGGCAGUGGCAAACUUUCUUUAUGCCGAAAUAGGACUCAUUUUAAUCUUCUGCUUACCUUUUAUUCCUCCUCAGAGAUGGCAGAAGAUUUUUUCACUUAAUGUCUGGGGUAAAAUUGCAACUUUUUGGAAAAAGCCUUUCCUUACUAUUAUCGUCCUAUUGAUUGUUCUAUUUCUAGAUGCUGUGUGAGAAGUAGGGAAAUAUUCCUCAGUUCAUACCAUUUGGAAGAGUUCCACCAGCAGACCUGAUGCAUAUGAACACACACAGAUGAAACUUUUUAGGUCUCAAAGAAAUCUUUACAUUUCUGGAUUUUCUCUAUUUUUUUUGGCUAGUGUUGAGAUGUCUGGUUACGCUUAUUACUCAACUGGCAAAAGAACUGUUAAACAAAGGUGUACUUAAAACUCAAGCAGAAAAUACUAACAAGGCUGACAAAAAAUUUUUGGAAGAAAAUGAAAAACUAAAACAGAUUUUGAAAAGCCAUGGUAAUAAUGAAGAAUGUGUUUGGGAAGCAGAAAAUAAAAAACUAGUAGAAGACCAGGAGAAACUGAAAACUGAAUUAAGGAAGACUUCAGAUGCCCUUUCUAAGGCACAAAAUGAUGUGAUGGCAAUGAAGAUGCAAUCGGAGAGACUUUCAAAAGAAUAUGAUCAACUCCUGAAAGAACACUCUGAACUUCAGGAUUGUUUAGGAAGACGCAACAAGAAAAGACUCAGACCUUUAUGAAAGAUGCUUGCGAUAUACCAUGUCAAAAUAAUAAAUUUCUUAUGUUAGCAUCUAGAAAAUUUAAAAUGAAGUUCAGAAAAAUGUACUAUGACCUGUCAGUUAUUUUUUUAAUGCCACACAUAGGUUGUAUUGUAAAGGCAUUAUCAAAAUAUUUGAUGAGGUUUCAGAUAUAUUGUAAAGUCUGUAUUCCACCUCUUAAGAAAUAUAUAAGCAUGUUAAAUACCAUAUUUACAUAUUGAUAAUGACACUGGUAUAUGGUGGCUGUAUAAAAGGAAAAAAUUCAUUAGCUGGUUACUUUCAAAAUUAGAAGUUUUAACUUGCAUGAAACCAUUAAUAGCCUUGAAAGCUUUGAUGAGUUUUCAGUAAUAAUAAUCCAUGUAAUCUGAUGAUGAUGUGUUUGAAAAUAGUUUUCAGUAUCAGCAAAUUUGUAUACAGGGAAUGUAAAUAAGGGUAACUAUCAGAGCUAUCCACUGUAUUUAUAAAGAAGAGUUCGAAAAAACAAUGACUUCGUUUUUUUUAAGCCUGAUGAUGCUAUGGUUUACUCUAAUAAGAUAUUGUUAAUUAUAUUUUUGUUACUGUGCCCCUGCACAUGUUGGACCGUUUUUUGUUGACAUUUGUAUUAAUAACACGUAAUUAGUAACCACUCUACGCUUUCAAGUUAAUCUAGUCAUAAAGUUUACAUAUAUUUACAUAACUGCCAUUCCACUGCACUGAAUUUAUUUUACAACAAUGUAGAAUUCUUUAAAAGUUAACGUAGAACAUAUCCAAAAAGCAGUAUUUCUUUCCAUUGGUUGUGAGAGUACCUAAUUAUAUAAAUAUUACCUCAAAAAUACAUCCACUGGUAUCACACAGUUUUUCUAAGAUGUUUCUAUGUUCUGAAAGCUAAUAUUACGGACUAUUUUUCC